CCUACGGGUGGCAGCAGUGGGGGAUAUUGCACAAUGGGGGGAACCCUGAUGCAGCGACGCCGCGUGGGUGAAGAAGCGCCUCGGCGCGUAAAGCCCUGUCAGCAGGGAAGAAAAUGACGGUACCUGAAGAAGAAGUCCCGGCUAACUACGUGCCAGCAGCCGCGGUAAUACGUAGGGGGCAAGCGUUAUCCGGAUUUACUGGGUGUAAAGGGGGCGCAGACGGCGAUGCAAGCCAGGAGUGAAAGCCCGGGGCUCAACCCCGGGACGGCUCUUGGAACUGCGUGGCUGGAGUGCAGGAGGGGCAGGCGGAAGUCCUGGUGUAGCGGUGAAAUGCGUAGAUAUCAGGAGGAACACCGGUGGCGAAGGCGGCCUGCUGGACUGCAACUGACGUUGAGGCCCGAAAGCGUGGGGAGCAAACAGGAUUAGAUACCCCUGUAGUC
This 440-nucleotide ribosomal RNA is filed under the name uncultured bacterium. RNAcentral describes it as "partial 16S ribosomal RNA". It matches the Rfam family "Bacterial small subunit ribosomal RNA", at positions 338 to 795 of the family's 1533-position model. The record is from RNAcentral.